RNAcentral lists this ribosomal RNA (424 nucleotides) under uncultured bacterium. RNAcentral describes it as "bacterial SSU rRNA". It matches the Rfam family "Bacterial small subunit ribosomal RNA", at positions 356 to 773 of the family's 1533-position model. The record is from RNAcentral.
GGGGGAUAUUGCACAAUGGAGGAAACUCUGAUGCAGCAACGCCGCGUGAGUGAUGAAGGUUUUCGGAUCGUAAAGCUCUGUUGCCAGGGAAGAACGUCCUGUAGAGUAACUGCUACAGGAGUGACGGUACCUGAGAAGAAAGCCCCGGCUAACUACGUGCCAGCAGCCGCGGUAAUACGUAGGGGGCAAGCGUUGUCCGGAAUUAUUGGGCGUAAAACACGCGCAGGCGGCUGUUUAAGUCUGGUGUUUAAUCCUGGGGCUCAACCCCGGGUCGCACUGGAAACUGGACGGCUUGAGUGCAGAAGAGGAGAGUGGAAUUCCACGUGUAGCGGUGAAAUGCGUAGAGAUGUGGAGGAACACCAGUGGCGAAGGCGACUCUCUGGGCUGUAACUGACGCUGAGGCGCGAAAGCGUGGGGAGCAAAC